Molecule: ribosomal RNA, 495 nt
Filed under: uncultured bacterium
Lineage: Bacteria
Description: partial 16S ribosomal RNA
Rfam family: Bacterial small subunit ribosomal RNA
Source: RNAcentral
GACGAACGCUGGCGGCGUGCCUAAUACAUGCAAGUAGAACGCUGAAGGAGGAGCUUGCUCUUCUGGAUGAGUUGCGAACGGGUGAGUAACGCGUAGGUAACCUGCCUGGUAGCGGGGGAUAACUAUUGGAAACGAUAGCUAAUACCGCAUAAGAGUAGAUGUUGCAUGACAUUUACUUAAAAGGUGCAAUUGCAUCACUACCAGAUGGACCUGCGUUGUAUUAGCUAGUUGGUGGGGUAACGGCUUACCAAGGCGACGAUACAUAGCCGACCUGAGAGGGGGAUCGGCCACACUGGGAGUGAGACACGGCCCAGACUCCUACGGGAGGCAGCAGUAGUGAAUCUGCGGCAAUGGACGGAAGUCUGACCGAGCAACGCCGCGUGAGUGAAGAAGGUUUUCGGAUCGUAAAGCUCGGUUGUAAGAGAAGAACGAGUGUGAGAGUGGAAAGUUCACACUGUGACGGUAACUUACCAGAAAGGGACGGCUAACUACGUG